UGUCAGUUGAUGGCAGUGGACACUGUGUU
This 29-nucleotide non-coding RNA is filed under the name Homo sapiens (human). Lineage: Eukaryota; Metazoa; Chordata; Mammalia; Primates; Hominidae. The record is from RNAcentral.